Long non-coding RNA from Chroicocephalus ridibundus (black-headed gull), 2899 nucleotides. RefSeq lists it as uncharacterized. The record is from RefSeq and is a predicted model, not a curated record. The transcript is spliced from 4 exons. Lineage: Eukaryota; Metazoa; Chordata; Aves; Charadriiformes; Laridae.
UUUAACCUUUGAUUUAACCUUUCUGCAAGCUAUUUUUACGUCUAUCUCAAGCUUAUUUUAACCUCAGUAGCCAAUAAAUGCUUAAAGGUCAAACACCAUUCCUAAGAGCCGGGCUCCUCACCCCUGGGAGAAAGCCUGAGAUCACUGAAUUAUUAUUUUUUUUUUAAUAUUUUUUUUUCCCCAAGCAAAAGCCCCUCUUAGAAAUGUCCCAGCGGUAGGAAACCUGUAAGCCAACAAUUUUCACUGUGGGUGCCGACAGAAGGAGCUGGGAAUUUUCCCUCUGAACGCCAUCCUUCCCACUCAAAAACCGCUCAGGAUGUACAGAAUUGAAAGCUGCCCACGGAGCAAUGCAAGGGCUGCAGGCACAGUCCGACAGCGGCAGAGGAUAAAACUCUCCCAAAGAAGAGGAUUCUCUCCUUGCUCUUACCCCAGGCUUUCUUCCCAUUGCUAACAAAGUCAUUAAACCAAACUUUUGGGUGCUGACGGCCGAAUUGCCCACGCUGCGCGUGUGUGUAUCUUGAUACCUUUAGCCCGAAUUGCUGACAUCCAUCUUCGUACAGCUGGAAGCCGUGGGUGCUGCGCUUGCAUGUACGAAGUGCUGCAUCAUGUUAAAUGCUCUGAAAAAGCAGGCAUUACGCUUCUCAGAUGGAGUACCCGGAAUUAGUCAAAACUGACCUUAAUCCAUCCAUGUGUCACCCUGACCCAUCUUCAUAACGGGUGUUUGGGGAGGAUUAAUGAAGGUGCUGAAGCACUGAUGCAGCGUAGUGGAAAGUACCGUAGAAGAAGCCACAAGGAAAUUAAUAAUUCUGUCUUCGGAGGAACCUGCCAACGUCCCCAUGUUGGUCCUGUACAGCACUACAGCCUUUCUGGCCAUUUCUCCGGCAUUUCUGGACCAUAACCUUAAAGGAGGUCACAACGUGUCCAAAUCCAGGUACGCACAUCAGUUCCUCGGUGCACAUCAGGUCUGCAGCAUCCCUAAGCACAACCUCAAGGCAUUUUUUUAAUUUUUUUUUUUUGCUAUCCAGAAGAGGAGCGCCUCGUUCCGCUUUGAAAACCGGGCACGGGAAUAUAUGGAGCCGCAUUUUCUACUGCUAUGAGGUCCGAAAGGGGUCAGACGCGUGAAUAAUGUGCUGAGCCAAGGCCGAGGAUUGCGUGCGGGACAAUAGGAACACGCCAGCCUUGCUGAGCCCCUCGCUGACCAUCUCACGCACUAGAGACACAGAAGAAAAAUACCAUCCGAUCACGCAAUUGAAAACUUGGUCUGCUUCCACAAAAGUUGCACUGGCAACAAGAAGUCGGACAUUUCUGCAUUUUGACUGCUUUCCCGGGCAGUAGCGACCACACGCUUAACAGAUUUUUGGCUACCAUAUAUGCGCCCUUAUACAAAACUUGCAUACAAAUAUAUGUAACACACACAUAUAAAAUAUACAGAGCUAAGGCUUGAUGGAUGGAUCUAGAGAAGGGUCAUGUAUAUGAUAUAUACGGUACUCGGUUUACAUAGUAUGACAUUUAUGUAACAUUUAUGAAGAGCUGUGACAGGGUGUUGCCAGCUGGCAUUUGCUAAGAGAAGAAAUAAAUCUAAUAAUAAAAACAAAAAAAAGAAGCAUUUUGGAAGAAAUAAUACUGCACAAAUCCUCUAAAAGGACGGAAUUGUCUACACAACAAAGGCUCAGCUGAUUGAUGCUAAAAUAAGCAGUUAUGCAACAAGUAAGAAAUAUAAUCUCCAGGGAAGAAACCAGCAACGUUUGCCUUUCAUCUUCAUUCACCGGUGCUUAUUUUUGCAUGCCUACAAGAAAAACACGGGCAACCUUUCGAUGAUGAGCAGGGGGGACUGACACGCACGCUCCGUGGCCUGAGCGAUAUUCCCAAGCAGCAAACUUCACCUGGACGCAGCCAGCAGAGAAGGAGGCACGUGGGACCUGGGACUGGCGACGGCGGUUCAGAAGGACCUAAGAGUAGCCAGAAGGACAAAUCAGCUGCUAAAGCAUUUGAGGAAAAGAGAUAAAGAUGGAAAGUGAAAGAUUUCUUGAGAUACUUCACACAAUAUUUAUUUCAAGGUAAUUCAUCGGGUCCGAUUAUAGCCAGGAGCCGAUACAACACGCUCAAAUACCAGCUCUUGCAAAGGGUGCCUGAAAGCUGGCUCCGAAAGCCACGGCAUCGACAACAGCUGGCACAGCCAGACGACCUCGUUCAGAAAACGCACAGGAAGAACAGACCAGAGAAGAGAAAUCUUAAUUUGCAGAGGGAAAACCGUACCAAGUGAGACCCAGGCUGGCCCUACGCCUGAUCUGUAAGUCCUGAAAUCUUUAGAGAAAAGCAGCAGGAACUGCAACAGAGGAGCAUCGAUCAUUCAUCCUACGGAGCGGAGGCUCAUGCCAGAGAUCACAUCAGCCACAGUCCAGAAAACAUACCUGCCGCCUUGACGUUUUUUCCAACCAAGGCCCUUAAAGUUUCAAUAAUCACCACUAUCGAGACUAGUUCAGACCAGUGCUUUCUGUUGAUACAUAAAAAUAUUUGGAAGUUUAGUUUCCGGCACUGUAAACUCCCUUAAUUCAGUACCAUGCACACCUAUAAAAAAAUUAUACACAGAGCAACUUAUAGUAAUAAGGAGCUUUGAUAAUAGUUUGAUAAUAGCUAAGGAAGAACCUGAGGUUUGAAAGCAAACUAUCAGCAAUAGCAGAUUUGCAAGUUCAGCUAUGGGAAGGACCACAAAAAUCUGAGUGCACGCGAUGUAUCUGCCUUUUAUUGACUGCUCUGUGGGGGUCUGCAUGUCUUGUUGAAGUUGGGAGCUGGAGACUGCACUCCGUGUUGAUUCUGAUUAUAAAGUGGUGGUAAUUAAACCUCUGGAGCAUUAAGUUACCAUUUUAACCAAAUGCCUGCGUUUUAUCUUGAUGGGAAA